GACGGAGGGUGCUAGCGUUGUUCGGAAUCACUGGGCGUAAAGGGCGCGUAGGCGGCCUUGCAAGUCGGUUGGUGAAAGCCCGGGGCUCAACCCCGGAGGUGCGGCCGAGACUGCAGGGCUGGAGGCCGGAAGAGGAGGGUGGAAUACCCAGUGUAGAGGUGAAAUUCGUAGAUAUUGGGUGGAACACCGGUGGCGAAGGCGGCUCUCUGGUCCGGACCUGACGCUGAGGCGCGAAAGCGUGGGGAGCAAACAGG
RNAcentral lists this ribosomal RNA (254 nucleotides) under uncultured bacterium. RNAcentral describes it as "partial 16S ribosomal RNA". It matches the Rfam family "Bacterial small subunit ribosomal RNA", at positions 524 to 776 of the family's 1533-position model. The record is from RNAcentral.